GUGCGCAUCAUGAACGCUCCGAGGAGAGCUCCAGUUCUGUAUUCCUGCAGGGGACACAGGUGUGGUUGAUCUACGUCUAUUCACCAGGUUUGGUAUGUCCAUUCUAAAAAGUUCGCUGAACGGGCUCGGAGGCGCUUUGCGGUACCCUCGUGCGCGUCUCUGCGUGAACGACGUCAGUGCCUCUGCGAGGCAGGCAGGGCACGGAGACGGCGACUGGGUGCGCUAACCUUGCAGCUCGAAGCGUUUCUGGUAGGGCAGUAACCGCUGAUAUCGUCUUUCUGGCGACCGACGCGAUGCGUGCUGUACUGGGUCCGUGUUGGCGCGCACGAAGAGCCGCCAUAGCCACAGUAGGGUCGCGUCCGCCAGCGAGUUAACGAGCGUACGUUCCCUCCCAGAUAUGCCCGCCCAACGCCGCUGGACUGAAUGCGCGUUUUGCAUGCCGCUAACGGUGUUCGGCGCUCAAUCCCGAUGCUCCAUAGAGUUGUUCGAGGCUGAGCAGCUGCACAUGGAUCCCCUACGCCGACUCGUAUGCGAGACGCAUGCGCAUGCCGAACCUACCCCCGCUCGAUGCAACCAACGACACGUCGACGCGACCCGCCGAGUCGUACCAGCGACAUGCACAUGUCGGAACAGCUCGCUCCGCAUCCUUGAUGACGUGCCUCUGAGCGCUUGCCGUCCACGACGAAGCAAAGCAAGCAGCAACGCCAUACACGCACUCCGAACGUGGCAUCCCAACGAGCGGGCGGUGCUUAGCGGCUACGCUCCCGUCCGAUUCGAAGCAACCGCAUCCUGAUGUGGCGUUUCCGCUGGCGCAGCGUUUCGUCCACACUGAUCCAGGUCCAGUUCGUUGUCCGGCUUCUGUGCAAGCGACCAGCGUGCCGCCCCGUCGGCAGGUCGUACAUGCUUCGCCAGCGCCAGGAUCGCCUGUUGGCGCAGCGCCUUUCGACGUGCACCCUGCACAAUAUCCCCGAUCACCACAACGAUCUGUGUUCGCUGUGCUUCGGACGGGACGGACGCACCCAGAAGGCGACAGUACGCGCUUGCUUGACUCGAAUAUGGUGCACGUCGAAGUUCAUCAAUCGCCAAUUCGAUGAUCCUCUCGGGGAGUCGCGCCGCCAAGCGUUCUGCAUGCGUGCAGAACUGGCUCAACGAGUAGGCGGCAGCUGCUCGAACAUGGACAUUUGGAUCUUCUUCGAGUCGCUUCAGUAGAAGAUCCAUCGCACGCCCUUUCAAUGCAUUCCAGUCGUUAUCGAGAAUGAUCGUAGGUUCUGUUUGAGGGAUGAACGCGCCUGGAUCCGCCGCGAGCCGCCCUAAUGCGGUACACGCAGCGGCGCGCAUCGAUGCAAUGGGGUCAGCGGUUAACGCCUCGAGCUCUCGAAAGAGCGGCGUGCCUGCGGCUCCAAUUCCAGGCUGACUCAAACAGGCGAUGGCAACCACACGUACCGCGUGGAAGGGAUCCUUCAACAUGCGGAACAGGAGUGCGUUACGCGAACUUGCGAUCGAUGGCCGCGAGCGCAACAGCAAGCGCAAGAGACGGGCGCUUUGUAGUCGCAGCGCUGGACUCGUCGAUGCACUUCGAAAAUGAUGCUCGACCAUCGCAAGUACCAGUUCGUCGACGGCAGUGCUGUCGGGUGCGGAUUCUUGGACCCUGCUCAGAUGACGCAUGCGUAGUGUUAGCAUGGCUUCCACGAACGAAACCACGUGCGCAUCAUUCCAGCGCAGCGGAUUCGCUAAAAGCUGCUCCAGCGGCGGUAUGGUUUGUAGACGAUCAUGAAUACUUUUCAGACAGGAGAUGGCCGCUGCUCGAAGCGUUUCAAGCUCUGGCCCAAGUGAAAGCGCGUACUGGUCCCAGAGCAGGUUCCCGGCGGUCUUGAGCUGUGCGCUCGGGAGACAGCGUGAUGGCGUAUUCUGCACCACGACCCCGAGGCAGCGCAUGAGCUGACAGGUCGAGGUGCUGGAAUCCACACCUCCCCUGCUGACUAUACCGGUCAAUGCAGUUGCAGCUUGGGUCAGCUGCGCCUGCAUCGUUUCGACCAGUGUAUCGUAGACCAGUUGAAGAUGCAACCGAUACCGUUCCGACAUGGGCACAAACGUCUGCUGUCGAGCGCUCUUCAUGGUGCUGGUUGCGUUUGGUGCUCCUUCCAUGCGUGUCGCACGUCGUGGCGCCUUGAGUACCAUCCCACAGAGCGGGUACAGGAAACGCUGCGCCCCGUCGAAAAGGAAGCACAGCAGCGAGCAGGAAGCAGCGCGUCCGUUUCGCACUCCCUGACAUAGGGUCGGCGUCCAGCGAUACCACAGGGCAGCGUGUUUCUUCAGCCAGAGUGUCUCGAGGGCGUGUGCUGCGUCUCUGGGUGUUGGUUCGUUCGGGGUCCGCUGGCGCGGCACUGAGCGUCGAAGGACGUUCAGUUGCUUCUGCGCUGUUUCCUGAGCAUCAGACUCGAGAAGGUGCUCCCAAGCACUCACACUAUGGAGGAACGCGUCGAAACUGGUUACUUGUGCACUUUCGGGGGCCAUACGCGCUGGAUGAGUCCCGUUUGUAAGUGCUCGCUCCGCAGCCGUAAACCUGGGACGGGACCCAAAAGUAAGCAGUCUGAUGAAUUGCACAAAGGAACCUGAACGCUUUCGUCAAGUUUAACCAGUCUACUUUCGUUUAGUAGCGGUAAAGCUUCGUC
This 2672-nucleotide unclassified non-coding RNA is filed under the name Cyanidioschyzon merolae strain 10D. RNAcentral's name for it is "hypothetical transcript". The record is from RNAcentral. Lineage: Eukaryota; Rhodophyta; Bangiophyceae; Cyanidiales; Cyanidiaceae.